AGGGUUUGAUUCUGGCUCAGGAUGAACGCUAGCGGCAGGCCUAACACAUGCAAGUCGAGGGGUAACAGGGAGUGCUUGCACUCUGCUGACGACCGGCGCACGGGUGCGUAACGCGUAUACAAUCUGCCUUAUACUGGGGUAUAGCCUUUAGAAAUGAAGAUUAAUCCCCCAUAGUCUCUUAUUAUGGCAUCAUAAAAAGAGUAAAGGUUACGGUAUAAGAUGAGUAUGCGUUCUAUUAGUUUGUUGGUGAGGUAACGGCUCACCAAGACUACGAUAGAUAGGGGCCCUGAGAGGGGGAUCCCCCACACUGGUACUGAGACACGGACCAGACUCCUACGGGAGGCAGCAGUGAGGAAUAUUGGACAAUGGAGGCAACUCUGAUCCAGCCAUGCCGCGUGCAGGAAGACUGCCCUAUGGGUUGUAAACUGCUUUUAUAUAGGAAGAAACCUUGGUACGUGUACCAAGCUGACGGUACUAUAAGAAUAAGGAUCGGCUAACUCCGUGCCAGCC
RNAcentral lists this ribosomal RNA (510 nucleotides) under uncultured Flavobacteriaceae bacterium. Its description in RNAcentral is "bacterial SSU rRNA". It matches the Rfam family "Bacterial small subunit ribosomal RNA", at positions 8 to 513 of the family's 1533-position model. Lineage: Bacteria; Pseudomonadati; Bacteroidota; Flavobacteriia; Flavobacteriales; Flavobacteriaceae. The record is from RNAcentral.